RNAcentral lists this ribosomal RNA (478 nucleotides) under uncultured bacterium. Its description in RNAcentral is "partial 16S ribosomal RNA". It matches the Rfam family "Bacterial small subunit ribosomal RNA", at positions 28 to 523 of the family's 1533-position model. The record is from RNAcentral.
GACGAACGCUGGCGGCGUGCUUAACACAUGCAAGUCGAACGGUAAGGCCCUUCGGGGUACACGAGUGGCGAACGGGUGAGUAACACGUGGGUGAUCUGCCCUGCACUUCGGGAUAAGCCUGGGAAACUGGGUCUAAUACCGGAUAGGACUCCGGACUGCAUGGUCUGGGGUGGAAAGCUUUUGCGGUGUGGGAUGGGCCCGCGGCCUAUCAGCUUGUUGGUGGGGUGAUGGCCUACCAAGGCGAUGACGGGUAGCCGGCCUGAGAGGGUGACCGGCCACACUGGGACUGAGACACGGCCCAGACUCCUACGGGAGGCAGCAGUGGGGAAUAUUGCACAAUGGGCGCAAGCCUGAUGCAGCGACGCCGCGUGAGGAAUGACGGCCUUCGGGUUGUAAACCUCUUUCAGCAUCGACGAAGCGAAAGUGACGGUAGGUGCAGAAGAAGGACCGGCCAACUACGUGCCAGCCGCCGCGGUAA